Molecule: ribosomal RNA, 253 nt
Filed under: uncultured bacterium
Lineage: Bacteria
Description: partial 16S ribosomal RNA
Rfam family: Bacterial small subunit ribosomal RNA
Source: RNAcentral
UACGGAGGGUGCGAGCGUUGUUCGGAAUCACUGGGCGUAAAGCGCGUGUAGGCGGCCUUGUAAGUCUGGUGUGAAAGCCCGGGGCUUACCCCCGGAAGUGCACUGGAAACUGCAAGGCUAGAGUACCGGAGAGGAAGGUGGAAUUCCUGGUGUAGCGGUGAAAUGCGUAGAUAUCAGGAGGAACACCGGUGGCGAAGGCGGCCACCUGGACCAGCACUGACACUGAGGCACGAAAGCGUGGGGAGCAAACAGG